RNAcentral lists this ribosomal RNA (400 nucleotides) under uncultured bacterium. RNAcentral's name for it is "bacterial SSU rRNA". It matches the Rfam family "Bacterial small subunit ribosomal RNA", at positions 355 to 772 of the family's 1533-position model. The record is from RNAcentral.
UGGGGAAUAUUGCGCAAUGGGGGGAACCCUGACGCAGCGACGCCGCGUGGAGGAUGAAGGCCUUCGGGUUGUAAACUCCUUUUGUAGGGGAAGAUAAUGACGGUACCCUGCGAAUAAGCCACGGCUAACUCUGUGCCAGCAGCCGCGGUAAGACAGAGGUGGCGAGCGUUGUUCGGAAUCACUGGGCUUAAAGGGCGAGUAGGCGGUGGAGCAAGUCUGAGGUGGAAUCCUACGGCUUAACCGUAGAACUGCCUUAGAAACUGUUUUACUUGAGUCAAUGAGGGGAGGGCGGAAUUCCUGGUGUAGCGGUGAAAUGCGUAGAUAUCAGGAGGAAGGCCUGUGGCGAAAGUGGCCCUCUGGCAUUGUACUGACGCUGAGGCGCGAAAGCGUGGGGAGCAAA